AUUGAACGCUGGCGGCAGGCCUAACACAUGCAAGUCGAACGAGUGGCGGACGGGUGAGUAAUGUCUGGGAAACUGCCUGAUGGAGGGGGAUAACUACUGGAAACGGUAGCUAAUACCGCAUACCAUCGGAUGUGCCCAGAUGGGAUUAGCUAGUAGGUGGGUUAACGGCUCACCUAGGCGACGAUCCCUAGCUGGUCUGAGAGCAUGACCAGCAACACUGGAACUUAUACACGGGCCAGACUCCUACGGUAGGCAGCAGUGGGGAAUAUGGCACAAUGGGAGCAAGCCUGAUGCAGCCAUGCCGCGGGUAUGAAGAAGGCCUUCGGGUUGUAAAGUACUUUCAGCGGGGAGGCGUUACCCGCAGAAGAAGCACCGGCUAACUCCGUGCCAGCCGCCGCGGUAAUUC
Molecule: ribosomal RNA, 406 nt
Filed under: uncultured bacterium
Lineage: Bacteria
Description: partial 16S ribosomal RNA
Rfam family: Bacterial small subunit ribosomal RNA
Source: RNAcentral